GUAGGAGGCAAGCGUUAUCCGGAUUCACUGGGCGUAAAGCGCGUGCAGGCGGUUCGGUAAGUUGGGCGUGAAAUCUCCUGGCUCAACUGGGAGAGGUCGUUCAAUACUACCGGGCUAGAGAGUGGUAGAGGAAGAUGGAAUUCCCGGUGUAGUGGUGAAAUGCGUAGAUAUCGGGAGGAACACCAGUGGCGAAGGCGAUCUUCUGGACCAUUUCUGACGCUCAGACGCGACAGCUAGGGUAGCAAACGGGAUUAGAGACCCCGGUAGUCCUAGCCGUAAACGAUGUGAACUUGGCGUCGGUGGGUUAAACUCCAUCGGUGCCGAAGCUAACGCGAUAAGUUCACCGCCUGGGGACUACGGCCGCAAGGUUA
RNAcentral lists this ribosomal RNA (371 nucleotides) under uncultured bacterium. RNAcentral describes it as "bacterial SSU rRNA". It matches the Rfam family "Bacterial small subunit ribosomal RNA", at positions 527 to 896 of the family's 1533-position model. The record is from RNAcentral.